This 240-nucleotide ribosomal RNA is filed under the name uncultured bacterium. Its description in RNAcentral is "partial 16S ribosomal RNA". It matches the Rfam family "Bacterial small subunit ribosomal RNA", at positions 28 to 253 of the family's 1533-position model. The record is from RNAcentral.
GACGAACGCUGGCGGCGUGCUUAACACAUGCAAGUCGAGCGGUAAGGCCCUUUCGGGGUACGACGAGCGGCGAACGGGUAGGAGUAACAACGUGGGUGGACCUCGCCCUCCAGCUCUGGGAGUAAGACCUCGGGAAACCGGGUACGUAAUAACUGGAGUAUGACUCCAUGACGCAUGUUGUGGGGUGGGAAAGCCUUGUGCGGCUGAGGAUGGGCCCGGCCGGCCUAUCAGCUUGUUGGU